AUGAUUGCGAAUGGUUGCCUUCAGUGCUGGCCGGCUUCGGCUUUGGCAAGUGCACGUCGGUGACUUUCAUCCAAUACCCUGUGAACCUUUGGCCUCUGCUAGCUUCGGCCGGCAGAGGAUUUUUACACACACACUCGAAUGUAAUGAAAACGUUUGUCGUGCGCAAGCACUAAUGUA
This 177-nucleotide unclassified non-coding RNA is filed under the name uncultured Sebacina. RNAcentral's name for it is "sequence contains ITS1". Lineage: Eukaryota; Fungi; Basidiomycota; Agaricomycetes; Sebacinales; Sebacinaceae. The record is from RNAcentral.